RNAcentral lists this unclassified non-coding RNA (222 nucleotides) under fungal sp. Its description in RNAcentral is "partial internal transcribed spacer region". The stretch from base 1 to 46 matches the Rfam family "Eukaryotic small subunit ribosomal RNA", at positions 1786 to 1831 of the family's 1831-position model. Lineage: Eukaryota; Fungi. The record is from RNAcentral.
AAGUCGUAACAAGGUCUCCGUAGGUGAACCUGCGGAGGGAUCAUUACCGAGCAAGGGCCUCCGCGCCCGACCUCCAACCCAUUGUGAAUCGAAACCUUUGUUGCCUCGGGGGCGACCCGGCCCUCGCGCCGGGGCCCUCGGCGGACCACCAAACGCUGCAUCUGUGCGUCCGAGUCUCGCGGAAAUGAAUCAAAACUUUCAACAACGGAUCUCUUGGUUCUG